This 232-nucleotide long non-coding RNA is filed under the name Dromaius novaehollandiae (emu). RNAcentral describes it as "lncRNA (ENSDNVG00000007087.1)". Lineage: Eukaryota; Metazoa; Chordata; Aves; Casuariiformes; Dromaiidae. The record is from RNAcentral.
GGAGCCCGAAUGUGUGUCGCUCGCCGGGUUACCGGUGUAGUGGAGCCUCUUGUGUGUCACACGGUGGAGCAACAGGCGCAGAGGAGCCUGAACGUGUGUCGCAUGGUGGGUUACCGUCGUGGAGGAGCCCAAACGUGUGUCACUCGCUGGGUUACCGGUGUAGCGGAGCCUCUUGUGCGUCACACGGUGGAUCAACAGGCGCAGAGGAGCCCAAACGUGUGUCGCAUGGUGG